Molecule: long non-coding RNA, 1149 nt
Filed under: Canis lupus familiaris (dog)
Lineage: Eukaryota; Metazoa; Chordata; Mammalia; Carnivora; Canidae
Description: lncRNA (ENSCAFG00040013211.1)
Source: RNAcentral
AUGGGGGAAGAGCACAGGGAGGAGCCCCGGGGAGGAGCAGCGGGGAAGAGCAUGGGGGAGGAGCACAGGGAGGGGCACGGGGGAGGUGCACUAAGGAGGAACCCCGGGGAGGAGCACUCGGGAGGAGCACCCAGGAGGCGCCCCGGGGAGGAGCACAGGGAGGAGCACCGCGGGUGCCGGACAUGCGGGCGGCGGAGCCUCAGGCCGCAGGUCCGCCCGGGCUCCCGAGCUGGGAGGCAGGGAGCGUGCACCGGGAGGACCGUGCUGGGGGAGGCGACGUGGUUGGGGGCGCACCCCGGGUGCAGCCCUUGGUCUAGGGGAACUCCCAGGCGGCGCGGUCUGACCCAGGACGUGAGGCAGCGGAGCCUCCUGGCGGCCGAGCUCGGGUUUUCCGUGUCCGCCCCUGGAUUGGGCCAACAGAAGCAAGGCUCAGGCCCGCGUGUUGCGGGCGUCGUGCAAACGACCGUGGGGGACGCUGAGGAGCAAGGGGCGGCGGGGAGCACGGCACCCCUUCACUCCCUUCAGCGACACUCGGCUCCUCUGGGACGAGGGCAGGGGUCCCCGCCCCCGGGGCUCAGCGGCCAAUGCGUGGAGGAGGAAGCGAUGGCGCCAGGCCCCGGGCUCCGGGGGGCUGUCCACCCUCAGGCCAGGCUGCCCCCCCAUCCUGGGGCUCCCGGACGGUUCCACCUGCAGGCCAGGCUGUCCCCUCCAUCCUGGUGGAGCCGGGAGGGUGUCCACCCCCAGGCCAGGCUGCCCCCCCCCCCCGAUCCUGGGGCUCCGGGAGGGUGUCCACCCUCAGGCCAGAGUGCCCCCCCAUCCUGGGGCUCCCGGACGGUUCCACCUGCAGGCCAGGCUGUCCCCUCCAUCCUGGUGGAGCCGGAGGGUGUCCACCCCCAGGCCAGGCUGCCCCCCCAUCCUGGGGCUCCGGGAGGGUGUCCACCCCCAGGCCAGGCUGCCCCCCCAUCCUGGGGCUCCGGGAGGGUUCCAUCUGCAGGCCAGGCUGUCCCCCCCCAUCCUGGUGGAGCCGGGGCCGCUGGCAGAGGGGGGAGACGGCGGGAGGGACCCUGGGCUUUUGGGGGACCCGAGCCUGCACCUGGGAGCCACCCCCCCACCCUCCUGUUGACUUUUAAAAGCGGGAAAAGCAAGUGA